UUCCGGGUCCUCGAGGGUACAGAGAGCAGAAAUGCCAGAGUCCCGUGCCUGGGAGGGUGGGGCUCCCCUGGCCUCCUGGAGCUUGCAGACAGCCCUGGCCACGCCUCCUCACAGCCUGGGGUAGGGGGUCCGGAUGCUCUGCCUGCCCCUCAGUGCCGGAUUGUGCUGGAGGUUGCUGCAGAUGAGAGCGGCGAUGGGACCAGGGUCCAGAGCAAUGGAGGCUCCGUGCCUGGGAGCGGGUUCUGCCGGCUGCGGAAGGAUAGGGGUGGCACAGUCAGCCGCCUUGGGGACACAGGACAUAGGGGACCCACCACCGCCACUGCCGCUCCCGCAGCAGCUCGUGCCGCCACCACCCACGCCUCCUUGCUGCAGCCAGCGUGACGACAGCGGCUGCUCCGGACCACCCGCAAGCGGCCAUCACGGUGUCCCUUCAGUACUGUGUGUCCUUGGUGCUGCUGAGCUCUGUCUGGCUCUCUGAUCGUUUCAACACCUGGCACCCCUGGAGAGGCUACCGAGGAGAGAAUGCGGGUGAGCUGCCACCAGUGGAGCUCUGAGGUUAUCACAGCCUGAUAAACGAACUCACAGGACACUCCCAAUCCAAUACGGCGCUGAUGGGGUUUAAGACACUGAUGCAGAUGAGAAGCACAACUGCACAGCAUAUGUACUUCUAGUGAGAAUUCAUCAAAUAUCCCAGGCAUGGCUUCCAGACCCCACCACUGUGUGGCCCAUGCUUGUUUGUGAAAGGUGAGUCAAAUAUGUGAGGAUUCUUCAGCACAAGGAAGCUGGCAUUGCAUAUGAAUCAUGUGGAUCCUUCCUGGGCGUGUGACCUGCUCUGUUUCACUGCAGCCCAUCACAUGAGUUACAUCAUAUGGUAAGGAAUCUCAACAACCAGGUUCUGUUGCUCUCAGUAUCCUCAGAACAUUGCACAGAACUUGGCAACCUUUAAAAUAUGCCUCAUUUAUGAUCAGUUGAGCAGGUUCUUCAUCUAGGUAGUGUGAUCCAUUUGGACAUCUCUGGGUCCGUAGAUGAGUUUGACAGUCCAGCUGAUGAGGCCUCUCCCUUCAGUGAAACGGACCGCACUUCCCCCUCAUGUUUAUUUUUCUUCAUCCUUCACAAUAUCACCCAUGGGUUGUGAAUAUAUACCAGAUGUUUUAAUAGGUGUGAUACAGAGAAUUCUAUAAAAUAAACACUGCAAUAUUCGUUUUUUCAUGAAAAAUUCACCCAAGAUGUUAAACCCUUCGCAGAAUCAGAUAUGCCCAGUGUUUAAUCUUGCUUCAUUCCCUUCAUGCCCACAUCGUUCUGAAAAUUCUUCUUCUAACCCGUUUCUAUAACUAGUAAUCAAAUUUCUAGAAAGCCUAAUCCCUACCCAUGAGACUGAAUUUCACCCUGACCUUCAUCACGCUACAUCCAGCAGCACUGACUUCCACCAGUUUGUUUCAAUAUUCCUCUUUGCUACCUAUGAGCCACCUGCUUAGCCUUACAAAUCUCCCAUGGGAAAACAUUAAUUUUUCAGAAUCAGUAAAGCCUGUGUUGAUGAGAAGAAACAUAUAGUUUAAGCCGUGAUAAUUUGCAAGAUUGCCUCUCUCACCAUGGAAUUAGUGUCUCGCCUUAUUGGGCAGAGCACUAUCAAUUUCUUUUCUACAUUCUCCCUUUCAAUUCUGCCUCCUUAUUGUACAUAAAAAUAAGCAAUAGGCUUAAGAGUGAGUCACACACUUUUCAAUUGCCUCCUACUGGAUGCUUUAACAUUUUGAUGAAAUCCUCAGGCCAGCAGUUCAGUAACAGAAGUCAGCAUGCAUUAGAAAAAAAACCAAUAUUUUAUUUAAACAACAUUCCUUGAAUUUUCCUCUUACGAAUAGAAAAAAAAAGCUGGAUCAAAGAUAAUCUAAGAUAAUUCUCACCAUAUGAACACAAAGAGAUGCAAUAUCAUUAUGAUAAUUGAGGUGAAUUUUUCUCUAUAUAGCUUAGCUUUAUUCCAAAAAAGGAAUCCUGCCUUAUGCAGAAAAUCUUCUUAAUUUUUAUUCAUGUACAGAAAUUGAAAAAUGUUUAAUUUUGAGUAAGCUUUCUUCUAAAAAAUGUUUAGAUUCAGUGUUCUGACGUAAGGGAGAUUAUGAUUUUUAGUGGAUGUUUUUGCAGUGAUAUAGGUUCUCUUCCAAGGCUUCUUCCGUAGAAAUCAGAAAAGGACCAAAAAUUGUUUACUUUGCAGGCAAAUCCAAUGAUAAAUAGCAAUUUAAUAUCUGCUAUGCGCAUAAGCUAUAUUUACUUUAAAAGCAUGGGUACUAGCAAAUUUUCAUACUAAGAUACAGGGUUUAGGAAUGAAGUUAAAGACACAGUACUAUUUAAUGCGAAGUUUUUUUGAAAGCUGCUAAGAAAAGAAUAUUCAAAAUUCCUUUAGAAGUUCAUCAUCUUCUCAUUUAUUUUCAUGAAUAAAGUUUGUUCUUUAAAUAUUUUAUGUGAAGCUUGUUUCACACUUUCAUUUCUCAGGCUAGAAAUCAAGGAGUUCAAGGAGAUGGUCACACACAAGUUCGGUCUCUGAAUCACAGAAUCGCAGAGAGCUCUCGGUCUGAGCUUCUGUCCAUGGCCACAAAGAGUUGCAGACUGCAGGUUGAGCAAUGCAGGUUGAGAAAGCAAAGAGGUGAGCAAGGCAGGUUGAGAAAGCUCCAUGCACACUGUCUGCAGAGAUAAUUUUUGGUAUGUCAAUUUCAUUGCAGAUAUAAGAUAUGGAAAUAAUGGAAAAGAGAGAGAAAGAGAGAGAGAGACUAAGAGAGAGACAGAGAGAGAGACCGGCAUAGGGCUUAGUAUAUGCUUGCAUAGGUCACAGUUUGACUUCAGGAAUGUGAUGGGAAUGACAGCCAUAACUUCGUUGGCACAGGAUUAGGGUAGCUGCCUAAUAUAGCAUCAGGAGAUUGACAUGUAGCUAGCAGCCUCUCCAGGGCCCUGUGGUGAGCAGUAUAUACAGUUUGUGUGUAAUGGUGUGCAUACCUUGCAGUGGAUAUCCAAUGGCAAUAAAAGGGUGGCACUGUGUCAGUGAAUGCAAGAAGAUCUCGGGGCAGUACAGGCAAGGAAAGGAGAAAACAUGGACAGCAGCACCCUGAACAUUGAUGGCUCAUUUCUGCGUUGAAGGUAAAGCAAUAAUUGAAGACAAACUCAUGCCAAUCACAAUGAUAUUUUUCAAGGAAAAAAAUACAUGCAUGAUGUGUGAAAUCCCAAGGAACAAACAAGGGUCCUGAAUAUAACAUUUCCCAAAAGGGUACAAAAUUUAUAAGAUAUAAUCAGGAUAAUGAAAUACAAUCUCCAGCCCUCAGCCAUUCACAGUAACAAAC
This 3320-nucleotide long non-coding RNA is filed under the name Homo sapiens (human). RNAcentral's name for it is "HSALNT0182665". Lineage: Eukaryota; Metazoa; Chordata; Mammalia; Primates; Hominidae. The record is from RNAcentral.